AAUACAUCUUACAUUCAUUGGAUAAACUCUAUAAUUUAAAUUGUCUGAAGGAAUUAGAUGAUGGCUGCUUAAAGUAUAACAUCUUGCACAAGGAAGUAUUGCUUAAAAUUUCCUUGAAAUAAAUUGAACAUCUAAAGGUAUGUUUAAUAUUUUAAGAUUGAUUAUUUAUAGCUUUAAAAUUUUUAUAUCC
RNAcentral lists this long non-coding RNA (190 nucleotides) under Fukomys damarensis (Damara mole-rat). RNAcentral's name for it is "lncRNA (ENSFDAG00000022280.1)". Lineage: Eukaryota; Metazoa; Chordata; Mammalia; Rodentia; Bathyergidae. The record is from RNAcentral.